UUGAUGGGGGACAACUUACCGAAAGGUGAGCUAAUCCCGCAUGACAUUCAGUUGCUUAAGUAGCUGAAUUAAAGAGGGGGAUCCUUCGGGACCUCUUGCUUGAGGAUGAGCUUAUGUCCUAUUAGCUUGUUGGUAGGGUAAUGGCCUACCAAGGCUCUGAUGGGUAGCCGAGCUGAGAGGCUGAUCGGCCACACUGGAACUGAGACACGGUCCAG
This 215-nucleotide ribosomal RNA is filed under the name uncultured bacterium. RNAcentral's name for it is "partial 16S ribosomal RNA". It matches the Rfam family "Bacterial small subunit ribosomal RNA", at positions 133 to 334 of the family's 1533-position model. The record is from RNAcentral.